CUACGGGUCGCAGCAGUGAGGAAUAUUGCACAAUGGGGGGAACCCUGAUGCAGCAACGCCGCGUGGAGGAUGACGCAUUUCGGUGUGUAAACUCCUUUUAUAUGUCAAGAAAAUGACGGUAGCAUAUGAAUAAGCACUGGCUAACUCCGUGCCAGCAGCCGCGGUAAUACGGAGGGUGCAAGCGUUACUCGGAAUCACUGGGCGUAAAGGACGCGUAGGCGGGCUUGUAAGUCAGGUGUGAAAUCCUACAGCUUAACUGUAGAACUGCACUUGAAACUACGAGCCUAGAGUAUGGGAGGGGGAGAUGGAAUUAGUGGUGUAGGGGUAAAAUCCGUAGAUAUCACUAGGAAUACCUAAAGCGAAGGCGAUCUCCUGGAACAUAACUGACGCUAAGGCGUGAAAGCGUGGGGAGCAAACAGGAUUAGAUACCCCAGUAGUC
RNAcentral lists this ribosomal RNA (439 nucleotides) under uncultured bacterium. RNAcentral describes it as "partial 16S ribosomal RNA". It matches the Rfam family "Bacterial small subunit ribosomal RNA", at positions 339 to 795 of the family's 1533-position model. The record is from RNAcentral.